RNAcentral lists this unclassified non-coding RNA (240 nucleotides) under soil metagenome. Its description in RNAcentral is "partial contains 5.8S ribosomal RNA, internal transcribed spacer 2, and large subunit ribosomal RNA". The record is from RNAcentral.
AACAAGGCGUACCUGCGGACCUGCGGAGGGAUCAUUAACAAGUGUAACCUACCCUUUUAAAAAAUGGGUGGUACCUCCCGUCCUUUGCGGGCCCCCUUCUUUUAUUAAGGGGGGGGCUUUUAAGACUUUCUGCUUCGGCGGGGUUAUUCCCGCCGGAACACCUUCAAAAAACUCUUGAUCAAAAAACUGUUCAGUCCGAGAAUUUUUGAAAAUUAAAACAAAACUUUCAACAACGGAUCU